UAACACGUGAGCAACCUGCCCUGGACUCUGGGAUAAGCGCUGGAAACGGCGUCUAAUACUGGAUAUGAGACGUGAUCGCAUGGUCGUGUUUGGAAAGAUUUUUCGGUCUGGGAUGGGCUCGCGGCCUAUCAGCUUGUUGGUGAGGUAAUGGCUCACCAAGGCGUCGACGGGUAGCCGGCCUGAGAGGGUGACCGGCCACACUGGGACUGAGACACGGCCCAGACUCCUACGGGAGGCAGCAGUGGGGAAUAUUGCACAAUGGGCGGAAGCCUGAUGCAGCAACGCCGCGUGAGGGAUGACGGCCUUCGGGUUGUAAACCUCUUUUAGCAGGGAAGAAGCGAAAGUGACGGUACCUGCAGAAAAAGCGCCGGCUAACUACGUGCCAGCAGCCGCGGUAAUACGUAGGGCGCAAGCGUUAUCCGGAAUUAUUGGGCGUAAAGAGCUCGUAGGCGGUUUGUCGCGUCUGCUGUGAAAUCCCGAGGCUCAACCUCGGGCCUGCAGUGGGUACGGGCAGACUAGAGUGCGGUAGGGGAGAUUGGAAUUCCUGGUGUAGCGGUGGAAUGCGCAGAUAUCAGGAGGAACACCGAUGGCGAAGGCAGAUCUCUGGGCCGUAACUGACGCUGAGGAGCGAAAGGGUGGGGAGCAAACAGGCUUAGAUACCCUGGUAGUCCACCCCGUAAACGUUGGGAACUAGUUGUGGGGACCAUUCCACGGUUUCCGUGACGCAGCUAACGCAUUAAGUUCCCCGCCUGGGGAGUACGGCCGCAAGGCUAAAACUCAAAGGAAUUGACGGGGACCCGCACAAGCGGCGGAGCAUGCGGAUUAAUUCGAUGCAACGCGAAGAACCUUACCAAGGCUUGACAUAUACGAGAACGGGCCAGAAAUGGUCAACUCUUUGGACACUCGUAAACAGGUGGUGCAUGGUUGUCGUCAGCUCGUGUCGUGAGAUGUUGGGUUAAGUCCCGCAACGAGCGCAACCCUCGUUCUAUGUUGCCAGCACGUAAUGGUGGGAACUCAUGGGAUACUGCCGGGGUCAACUCGGAGGAAGGUGGGGAUGACGUCAAAUCAUCAUGCCCCUUAUGUCUUGGGCUUCACGCAUGCUACAAUGGCCGGUACAAAGGGCUGCAAUACCGUGAGGUGGAGCGAAUCCCAAAAAGCCGGUCCCAGUUCGGAUUGAGGUCUGCAACUCGACCUCAUGAAGUCGGAGUCGCUAGUAAUCGCAGAUCAGCAACGCUGCGGUGAAUACGUUCCCGGGUCUUGUACACAC
Molecule: ribosomal RNA, 1267 nt
Filed under: Microbacterium testaceum
Lineage: Bacteria; Bacillati; Actinomycetota; Actinomycetes; Micrococcales; Microbacteriaceae
Description: bacterial SSU rRNA
Rfam family: Bacterial small subunit ribosomal RNA
Source: RNAcentral